Lepisosteus oculatus (spotted gar) is the source of this 1599-nucleotide long non-coding RNA. NCBI's taxonomy places the organism in Eukaryota, Metazoa, Chordata, Actinopteri, Semionotiformes, Lepisosteidae. The record is from Ensembl.
GCCUCCUGCCGGAGACACCGCCGCCCCGUAAAACACCUUCACGCAAGCCUGGGUUAUUAGCUGCCAUCGUCAUCUUGACUGUUUAAACUAGAGGCUUUACUCUUAUAUCCCGGGACGGUUAAAUGAAUACAACCAACCGCCGCUAUGCGACAAAGGGCGAGAGAGAUUCAUUAUUGUACUUUAUACUGUUGGUACAACUGUACGUUUGUACAAUUGUGCUAUACAGCCUCACAGUCGCUAGAAUAUCUGUUUCUAAAGCUCUUCUGGUUUUGUCAUCAUCUAAUUGUGGCAAGGGAUGGGGUCGCUAUUAUUCGUGUUUCGGAGAAGUGGUUUGGGCGUCCCCCCCCCCGACACCGGCACGUCUCCCGUUUGCCCGAGCGCGCUCCUGCAGUGGCGGCCGGCGCCCACGGGGCGGCGCUGUGGCGCCUCGCCGCGGCCCAGGGCGCCCGCGGCGGAUCCGGAGCUCGGCAGACAGGGCAGGCAGGGUGCGCGGCGCCUCUGAUGUGGUCAGGAAGGCAGGGGGGCCCUGUUUUGGAUGAAAAACGCCAGCAAGUCGUGCACGACGCCGCUCCGCUCGCUCGUGACAACAGCAGCAAUAAGGUCCACGGAUAAGGAAGGCACUGUACUGUUCACGUACAAACUGGAUGUCGAAGAACCUCAAAAAUAAAUGCAGCAACAGUAACAAAACAUCGUCUUUCUUUUUGAGAGCGACUUUACCUUCUGCACUGUUGCCCCUGUGUCCGGUCUCUGCAGUUGCCCCCGAUGUGUCAACCCCACACCCCUCCCAGCUCGGCGUGCCUGUCUGCUGCCUGAGCGCACCUCCCCUGCACCCACCUGCACUAGCCCUCUCAACUACGAAUCCACGGAGCUCUUCCUGAAUUCCUCUGCGGCUAAUCCCCCCACUGGGGUCUCCUCUGCCAACCUGGACCAGAACCGAGUUUCCUGAGGUCCCGAUGCAGAGUCACCUUACUGUCUGGCUCGCUGUCAGGGGGCUCUCUGUGUGGGCUGUCACAGGAACAAGCGCAACGACACAUCUGGACACAUCUGUACACACAGGGCGGUGGGAGCGUGGAGCGAGCUGCCCAGACAUGUGGCUGAGGCCAAUACACUUGUGUCUUACAAGAAGCAGCUGGAUGAGACCCUCCAGCCAGGACAGGAGGCCCUUCUUUACACAAAGGGGGGGUGGGAGUGUGGAACGAGCUGCCCAGACAUGUGGUUGAAGGUGGAAACGAUCCCUAUAUCAGUAACGGCGGUCCGGGCCAGGCGGAGGGACUCCAGGGUGAAAACGCGGUCAGGAGGCGGUAAGGGAGGAGCAGCUCGGCGAGGAGAGAACCGGCCCCAGGCGCCGCGCGGCACAGAGCCUGCCUUCAGGCCCUGGUAAACAAACACAGCCUCCCCACCCGCAGCAAACUUCAAUCCCUCUUCAAACACGAACCUCCAGCACGAGCCGCACAGGCCAGGGGCAGAUCGAACAGGCCCAGCCUGGCCCGGCCCGGCCCGGCCCGGCCCCCUGUGUGCCUGUCGACCUUGUGGACCUGCAACCUGAGGAGGCUCUGAUGGAUUUCUGGGUACAGGGGGGAGUUUCAGGGGACCGGAUGA